GCGUCCCCCAAGGAGCCGCACGUUGACGUACCAGGAGCCGCGGUCGGGCCGCAGAGUCCCGGCCUGAACUCACCUUGAGCGCGUUCAAGCGACUGACCGGCGGGCGGCGAAAGCUCAGGAGCUGGACCGCGCGGCGAUGGGACAGACCUGGGCUGUGAACUUACAGUGCUGACAGUGGCCCCUAAAGCCCCGCCCCCUGCCCGCGGAGCCAAUGCCGGGGCCGCCCCAACUAGGCCCCGCCCACAGCCUCGCCCUACUCCCUGGCCCGCCUGGGCUCCCCCUUUGGAGGCGCAGCGCGGGGGUCCCGCAGCCGCGCGGGCCCGGAGGUCCAGUUCAAGUUCGGGCGGCUGCGGGCCAGGCGGCGUCGGGUGCCUGGGCUGGACUCCGCGGACUCCGGCUGUGCCCGUCGGAACCAAAACUCUCGGUUCUAGGAGGGCCGGGUCCGGGGAGGCGCCCGCACAAGUGUAUUCAGUGACUACUAAGGAAAUGAAUGAGGCCUUAGAGGCGCCUAUGUUAAAAUAUUACAGACUUCCGAGAGCUUUCAGGAGUUUGCCGCCCCUUAGAAAAGAGGGCAUUGAGGGUGUGUGCGGGUGGAGUGGCCGGGCCAUGCCCGUGUUUGCUGUCAGGCUAAGUGGCUUCCGGGGCUGGGGUGGGACCCGUACUUAGACUCAUUCCAACAUCAGUUGAUUGGCUGGUUGGUUGGUUCAUUCAUUCUUUCAUUCAUUCAGUACGAGAAACAUUUACUGAAGGGCAGGCCCUGCACAGGAGCUGGAGCUAGACUGAAGGGAACUCUGCCCUUGCUCCUUUCAGUGAUUCAGCAGAUAAUUGUGCAUCUAUAGGUGCCAGGCGCUGUUCUUGUCGCUGGGGAUGCAGCCCCCUCUGGACUGGGACCUACUGUCCAAUGAUGGGAAAUGGAGGAAACCCAAGUCCCCAAGUAGACUGUGACACCAUUCUGAGGGAGCAAGUGCUAAGAAGAGCGGGGCAAAGGAAGGGUGGAUGGUAAUGAGAUGGAGGAAGGGGCCACAAAGGCAUGUGGGCGGCCUCUAGAAGCUGGAAAAGUCAAGGAAACAGAUUCUCCCCCAGAACCUCCAAAAGGAACAUGGCCCAGCUGACCGCUUGAUUUUAGACCCAUGUUGGACUUCAAACCAACAGAACAGGAGCAUCAGUCAGGUGGAUUCUGCCAGGACUGGCCUGGUGGCUCAGAGGAAAACUGAGGCCUGGACAGUGGAGGAAUGGGGCCCUGGGCCAAAUUGUCGUAUGCGGUCAUGUCACUUGGCUGGGGCCCGAGGAAUCCCUGGGGAGCCGGCUGCUGGCGGCUCUCAGCUCUACUGAAUGGACGGGAUCUUUGCAGAUACGCCCAGUGUUGCCAUGGCAGCCCUGCAAUUACUGAACAUUUAUAAAACAGGAUUUCAUUGACUAAAAUUGGCUUUUUUAUGCAACUUCUCAGGCAGUGUGUAAAGGCCCAAGUAUGGGUGGUGAGGCUGGGAUCCCGAGCCAUGGGAGGGCCAGGGUGUCCUGCAUUUCUGACCCAGUAGACACUCAGGCCAAGUGCCCCCUGCCCAGCCUGACCCCAUGUCCAGGGUCUGCUGCCUCAGCCAGGGCCUGGACUAUUCUUGCUGGAAGGACUCCUGGACACCCUGGUGUCUGAGGGGGUAGGACCCUGAGGGACAUUCAGGACAGGUUAGAGGCAAGGAAGCCUGGGUGGAGCAAUGCCCCAAGGGGCUUCCCUGGCGGUCCAGUGGUUAAGACUCUGUGCCUGCAAUGCAGGGAGCAUGGGUUCGAUCCUGGUCGGGGAACUAAGAUCGCACAUGCUGUGCGGCG
Molecule: long non-coding RNA, 1821 nt
Organism: Balaenoptera ricei (Rice's whale)
Lineage: Eukaryota; Metazoa; Chordata; Mammalia; Artiodactyla; Balaenopteridae
Exons: 5
Source: RefSeq, a predicted model, not a curated record